CCUCUUUUAUAACCUGAUUUUCAUGGCUUUGUGGGCUCAAAUGAGAGAGGUCCAAAUCCAAGAUUUUUUCUUUUAUUUAUUUAUUUAUUUAUUUUAACUUUUUUUUUUCUUUUUCCGUUUUUUUUUUCGUUUUUCGUUUUUUUUUUCUUCGUUUUUUUCGUUUUUUUUUUGCAUAACAAGUGGGCUUCGCCUAGCAAGCAUGAUAACUCAUGAACAAACCUUUGCUCCUUCAAGAUUAACGUUUUGACUAACGAAUAG
Molecule: long non-coding RNA, 258 nt
Filed under: Lathyrus oleraceus (garden pea)
Lineage: Eukaryota; Viridiplantae; Streptophyta; Magnoliopsida; Fabales; Fabaceae
Description: Pisum sativum (pea) long non-coding RNA (PSAT_LNC000904)
Source: RNAcentral